UCAUGGAGAGGUGGAUCUGAACGAGAGACCACAGGAAUUCAGAUAUGGAGUGAAAUCUUCCUUAUCAAUAAACCUGAUGGUAAAAAGGUUGCAGUGUUAUUGAUGGAUACUCAGGGAACCUUUGAUAGUCAGUCAACUUUGAGAGAUUCAGCCACCGUAUUUGCCCUUAGCACAAUGAUCAGCUCAAUACAGGUAUGAAAUAAACCCAUUUUGAUGAUGUUUCUUUAACUAAAAAUUAUCAGUAUAUGUGUUUCUACAUACAUGUGAUAAUGAGAUAAACAACAGAAAUUGGGAAUCAUAUAUAUUGUUUGACUCAAUUAGCAUACCAGUUCUUGUGAUUUCUAUAAGAGUGGAAUUGUUUUUGUUACUG
Molecule: small RNA, 370 nt
Filed under: Pongo abelii (Sumatran orangutan)
Lineage: Eukaryota; Metazoa; Chordata; Mammalia; Primates; Hominidae
Description: retained intron
Source: RNAcentral